Molecule: transfer RNA, 74 nt
Filed under: Zostera marina
Lineage: Eukaryota; Viridiplantae; Streptophyta; Magnoliopsida; Alismatales; Zosteraceae
Rfam family: tRNA
About the family: Transfer RNA (tRNA) molecules are approximately 80 nucleotides in length. Their secondary structure includes four short double-helical elements and three loops (D, anti-codon, and T loops).
Source: Rfam by way of RNAcentral
GCUGGAAUAGCUCAGUUGGUUAGAGCGUGUGGCUGUUAACCAUAAGGUCGAAGGUUCGACCCCUUCUUCUAGCG